This 84-nucleotide small nucleolar RNA is filed under the name Cynoglossus semilaevis (tongue sole). RNAcentral describes it as "Small nucleolar RNA SNORD87 (ENSCSEG00000014647.1)". The record is from RNAcentral. Lineage: Eukaryota; Metazoa; Chordata; Actinopteri; Pleuronectiformes; Cynoglossidae.
GCUGGUAUAGUGAUGAGUUCGCACUUUUUGCCGUUUACCCAUCAGACAAUAACAUGGUGAAUCUGUGACUACUGAAAUAACAGC